GCCCCCAUAUAUUAACCCACAAAGUAUGGCACUACACCUGCCAAAAGGGAACCCACAAUAACUUGCUG
This 68-nucleotide transfer RNA is filed under the name Gallus gallus (chicken). RNAcentral describes it as "tRNA-Phe". Lineage: Eukaryota; Metazoa; Chordata; Aves; Galliformes; Phasianidae. The record is from RNAcentral.